GCGGGUGUAGUUCAAUGGGAGAACACCAGCCUUCCAAGCUGAAUACGUGGGUUCGAUUCCCAUCACCCGCU
This 71-nucleotide transfer RNA is filed under the name Ruminococcus sp. AM12-48. Its description in RNAcentral is "tRNA-Gly". It matches the Rfam family "tRNA". From Rfam's summary of the family: Transfer RNA (tRNA) molecules are approximately 80 nucleotides in length. Their secondary structure includes four short double-helical elements and three loops (D, anti-codon, and T loops). Further hydrogen bonds mediate the characteristic L-shaped molecular structure. tRNAs have two regions of fundamental functional importance: the anti-codon, which is responsible for specific mRNA codon recognition, and the 3' end, to which the tRNAs corresponding amino acid is attached (by aminoacyl-tRNA synthetases). tRNAs cope with the degeneracy of the genetic code in two manners: having more than one tRNA (with a specific anti-codon) for a particular amino acid; and 'wobble' base-pairing, i.e. permitting non-standard base-pairing at the 3rd anti-codon position. The record is from RNAcentral. Lineage: Bacteria; Bacillati; Bacillota; Clostridia; Eubacteriales; Oscillospiraceae.